ACUCCUACGGGAGGCAGCAGUGGGGAAUAUUGCACAAUGGGCGCAAGCCUGAUGCAGCCAUGCCGCGUGUAUGAAGAAGGCCUUCGGGUUGUAAAGUACUUUCAGCGGGGAGGAAGGCAAUACGGUUAAUAACCGUGUUGAUUGACGUUACCCGCAGAAGAAGCACCGGCUAACUCCGUGCCAGCAGCCGCGGUAAUACGGAGGGUGCAAGCGUUAAUCGGAAUUACUGGGCGUAAAGCGCACGCAGGCGGUCUGUCAAGUCGGAUGUGAAAUCCCCGGGCUCAACCUGGGAACUGCAUUCGAAACUGGCAGGCUUGAGUCUUGUAGAGGGGGGUAGAAUUCCAGGUGUAGCGGUGAAAUGCGGAGAGAUCUGGAGGAAUACCGGUGGCGAAGGCGGCCCCCUGGACAAAGACUGACGCUCAGGUGCGAAAGCGUGGGGAGCAAACAGGAUUAGAAACCCCUGUAGUCCCAUG
RNAcentral lists this ribosomal RNA (473 nucleotides) under uncultured organism. RNAcentral describes it as "partial 16S ribosomal RNA". It matches the Rfam family "Bacterial small subunit ribosomal RNA", at positions 335 to 799 of the family's 1533-position model. The record is from RNAcentral.